This 550-nucleotide ribosomal RNA is filed under the name Penicillium chrysogenum. RNAcentral's name for it is "eukaryotic LSU rRNA". The stretch from base 171 to 323 matches the Rfam family "5.8S ribosomal RNA". The record is from RNAcentral. Lineage: Eukaryota; Fungi; Ascomycota; Eurotiomycetes; Eurotiales; Aspergillaceae.
CGGAGGGGCUCUGGGUCACCUCCCACCCGUGUUUAUUUUACCUUGUUGCUUCGGCGGGCCCGCCUUAACUGGCCGCCGGGGGGCUUACGCCCCCGGGCCCGCGCCCGCCGAAGACACCCUCGAACUCUGUCUUGAAGAUUGUAGUCUGAGUGAAAAUAUAAAUUAUUUAAAACUUUCAACAACGGAUCUCUUGGUUCCGGCAUCGAUGAAGAACGCAGCGAAAUGCGAUACGUAAUGUGAAUUGCAAAUUCAGUGAAUCAUCGAGUCUUUGAACGCACAUUGCGCCCCCUGGUAUUCCGGGGGGCAUGCCUGUCCGAGCGUCAUUGCUGCCCUCAAGCACGGCUUGUGUGUUGGGCCCCGUCCUCCGAUCCCGGGGGACGGGCCCGAAAGGCAGCGGCGGCACCGCGUCCGGUCCUCGAGCGUAUGGGGCUUUGUCACCCGCUCUGUAGGCCCGGCCGGCGCUUGCCGAUCAACCCAAAAUUUUAUCCAGGUUGACCUCGGAUCAGGUAGGGAUACCCGCUGAACUUAAGCAUAUCAAUAAGCGGAGGAA